GACGGAGGGUGCUAGCGUUGUUCGGAAUUACUGGGCGUAAAGGGCGCGUAGGCGGCCUGGUCAGUCGGAUGUGAAAUCCCGGGGCUCAACCCCGGAACGGCAUCCGAGACGGCCAGGCUGGAGACCGGGAGAGGAGAGUGGAAUAGCCAGUGUAGAGGUGAAAUUCGUAGAUAUUGGGAAGAACACCGGUGGCGAAGGCGGCGACCUGGUCCUUUUACUGACGCUGAGGCGCGAAAGCGUGGGGAGCAAACAGG
Molecule: ribosomal RNA, 254 nt
Filed under: uncultured bacterium
Lineage: Bacteria
Description: partial 16S ribosomal RNA
Rfam family: Bacterial small subunit ribosomal RNA
Source: RNAcentral